CCUACGGGAGGCAGCAGUGAGGAAUAUUGGUCAAUGGCCGAGAGGCUGAACCAGCCAAGUCGCGUGAGGGAAGACGGCCCUACGGGUUGUAAACCUCUUUUGUCGGGGAGCAAAGCGAACCACGUGUGGUUCAUUGAGAGUACCCGAAGAAAAAGCAUAGGCUAACUCCGUGCCAGCAGCCGCGGUAAUCCGGAGGAUGCGACAGUUAUCCGGAUUUAUUGGGUGUAAAGGGUGCGCAGGCGGAGGUGCACGUCAGCGGUCAAAUUGCGGGGCUCAACCCCGUACUGCCGUUGACACUGCAUCCCUUGAGUGCGCGAGAAGUAUGCGGAAUGCGUGGUGUAGCGGUGAAAUGCAUAGAUAUCACGCAGAACUCCGAUUGCGAAGGCAGCAUACCGGCGCGCAACUGACGCUCAUGCACGAAAGCGUGGGUAUCGAACAGGAUUAGAUACCCGAUAGUC
This 458-nucleotide ribosomal RNA is filed under the name uncultured bacterium. RNAcentral describes it as "partial 16S ribosomal RNA". It matches the Rfam family "Bacterial small subunit ribosomal RNA", at positions 338 to 795 of the family's 1533-position model. The record is from RNAcentral.